AUGAGGACUUAUGGAAGAUAUAAGGAGUGUGAGAGCUUGAGGAAUGUAAGAGUAGUGGGUAUAGGAACCCUCAUAUUGAAAGAGGUGUGGUACAGCAUGAAGGUCAAGUUACUGACCCCAGAAGAGCACCACUUUGAGGCUUCUGAGCCCUGUGGAAUGGUGGUCUCUGACCCAAUAGACUUGUCUCAGCCAUCCCCACAAGAAUUAGGUGUUCCAGGGACACCAAGGCCUUCCCUACGGGUAGGAAACAAGAAGCUCUGCUUCCUCCCUCCUCUGGGAAUUAGACUCUACAGUGGCCUCCCCUUAGACAUAGCUCCCUCUUGUGGUCACUUCCUUCAGUUCCAGACACCUAGCCAAAGAGCAUCAGAUGUUAGACAGCUAGAAGAAGAUGAAGAGAGGAUGGGAAUCAGGAGACAUUGGGUGGAGAUAAAGAGCCAUAGAUUGUCAUCCACCAGUGGAGAGAAGAUAGGGGAAUGUGUCGUGGAUUCAAGGAUCCUAAGAACCUGUGUUUCCAUUUCAGAUCCCCAGGUCUUACCCAGGAUCUUCCCUCUGAGCUCAUGCUCCUCUGAGGAUAGCAGCUCAGUGGUCCUAGGCUGUUUAGCUCAAGGCUUCUUCCCACAGCCUGUAAACAUGGCAUGGAAUUACAGUGGCUCCGGAGGCACAGUAAGGAACUACCCUGCUACGCUGAAUGGCAAAACCUACAUUCAAACCAGUGUGUUAGACCUUCCUGCAAACCAGUGCUUUGACACCCAGAGCUACCAGUGCCACAUAGAACAUUACAACACCAAUUCUAGUCUGAUGGUUCCCUGCAAAGAAAAAAUAAUUCCAUGUCCUUGCAAUACUGCUUAUGUAUCCCUGAGUCCUCCUUCCCUGGAGAGCCUGCUCCUGGGCACAGGUGCCAAUCUGACAUGUACACUCAGUGGCCUCAAUAAUGGUGAAGGAGUCGAGUUUACCUGGGGGAACACUCCGGCCCAGGCAUCAACUUUCAAACCUAUCCAGGGAAGACCUGAGAAGGACUCUAGUGGCAAGUAUAGUGUAUCCAGCGUCCUGGAGAUCUGUGCUGAGGAGUGGACCCGUGGGGACACCUUUUCUUGCACUGUGUCCCACCCUGAGAUAAAAACUACUAUCAAGAAUAUCAGGAAGCCAAAAGUGAUCCAGAUACCACCCCAGGUCUACUUGCUGCCACCAUCAGCAGAUGAACUAGCCUUAAAUGAACAGGUCUCAAUAACAUGCCUGAUGAGGGGUCACAGCCCACAAGAAGUGUUGGUACAGUGGAUGAAGGGGUCUGAGAAGCUGCCCAGUAAGGACUACAUCACCAGUGGUCCUCACCCAGAGCCCAAAAGCAUCAGCACCUUCAUAACAUCCAGCAUCAUCCUAGUCUCAGCCUCUGAAUGGAAGGAAGGAAACAAAUACACCUGUGUGGUAGGCCAUGAAGCUCUUCCCCUGAACUUCACCCAGCAAACCAUCGACCAAUUCUCUGGUAAACCCACCAAUGUCAAUGUAUCUGUCAUCAUGUCUGAUGUCUAUGGCACCUGUUACUGAGCCCAGCCUAAACUAUCAGGCCCCCAUCACUGCUCAGAACUUGAAUUACAAGGCAAGAGUGAAGGGGAAGUCGAUCUAUAGAAAAAAUAUCUAAUGGAAUAAAU
Dromiciops gliroides (monito del monte) is the source of this 1646-nucleotide non-coding RNA. NCBI's taxonomy places the organism in Eukaryota, Metazoa, Chordata, Mammalia, Microbiotheria, Microbiotheriidae. The record is from the annotation of a RefSeq genome assembly.